GUGUAAGAAAUUUUUUGUUUUUUUAGAAAUUCUUUUUUUUUCAAAAGUCUAAUUUGCUCAGUGAAAAUUUUAAAUAGCCGCAGUAUUCUAACUGUGCAAAGGUAGCAUAAUAAUUUGUUCUUUAACUUAGGACUGGAAUGAAUGAUUUUACGAGAUUAAGGCUGUCUUAUAAUUAUUAGUUAAUGAAUUUAAUUUUUGCGUUAAAAAGCCUAAAUUUUAUUGGAGGACGAGGAGACCCUAUAGAGUUUUAUAAUUAUAUUUAUUUCAUUAAUUAAUUUAUUUUCAUGAAAUAAAUAUAAUUAUUUUGUUGGGGUGAUAAUUAAAUUUAAUAAACUUUUAAUUUUGUGUUACAUUAAUUAAUGAAUUUUUGAUACUAUAUUUUAGAUUAUUAGAUUAAAUUACCUAAGGGAUAGCAGCGUUACUUUUUUUAAAGUUCUUAUUGACAUAAAAAAUUGCGACCUCGAUGUUGGAUUAAAAUUUAUUUUGGGUGUAGAAGCUUAAAAAUUUAGGUCUGUUCGACCUUUAAAAUUUUACAUGAUCUGAGUUCAAACCGG
This 554-nucleotide long non-coding RNA is filed under the name Neodiprion pinetum (white pine sawfly). RNAcentral describes it as "uncharacterized LOC124217913, transcript variant X1". The stretch from base 409 to 554 matches the Rfam family "Bacterial large subunit ribosomal RNA", at positions 2473 to 2619 of the family's 2925-position model. The record is from RNAcentral. Lineage: Eukaryota; Metazoa; Arthropoda; Insecta; Hymenoptera; Diprionidae.